CUGGGGCCGACCAUUUGAAAGUCUGCUCUUCUUCCAAAGAGGGUUUGGGGCCCUCCCUGCCUGCUGCUGGACUCUUACGUGUAGGAGAGUGAGUCACCCAAAGAGGGGGGAGGGGGAGAAAGGAAAGUGGAAAUACAAAGAUGCCUUGGAAAGCUAAUUUGGUUCACAUUACAUUUCAGUCACCUGAGGUACAUGAGUCAACAUUUCAGAUGAUUCAGGCUUUCUGGGAGUCAGGAAGCCCAGUACUCAUUGGUUUGAUGUGCAGGAAUAAGCAUGACCCCCAUUCCACCUUUUCUGAGACAGGAGAGUUUAAAAAAAACAGUUGCAGAACACAUGAGAAUCAGGAUUCUGGGCCGGGCCCGGUGGCUCCCGCCUGUAAUCCAGCAUUUUGGGAGGCUGAGGUAGGGGCGGAUCACGAGGUUAGGAGUUCGAGACCAGCCUGACCAACAUGGUGAAACCCUGUCUCUACUAAAAAUACAAAAAUUAGCCGGAUGCGGUGGCGCCUGCCAGUAAUCCCGACUACUCAGGAGGAUGGGGCAGAAGAAUCCCUUGAACCUGGGAGGCGGAGGUUGUAGUAAGCUGAGAUCAUACCAUUGCAUUCCAGCUCUCCAUCCUGGGCAACAGAGCAAGACUCCGUCUCAAAAAAAAAAAAAAAAGAAUCAGGAUCCUUUUAUCUUUCUGAUUUACUUUUCAAAAAUGUUCUCUGCCUGACUACUCUGGAAGCCCUGGAGAGAAGAGGAUACCUUGCUUUCAAGUUGCUCAAAGUCUUAAUCAGUCUGUAGCCACAAGUAACCAGUGACUAAGAACCCAGAAACACAAUCAUCACAAGAAGUGCUGCAGUAUAUGACCUACCUGUGUCUUUGUUGAAACUCAUUUACAUUUGUUACUAAAAAGUUAUUGUCAUUUAGAAUUUUCAUUUUAUAUUCAUUUUAUUUAUUGUCCUGAGGAGGAUUUUUUCCUGUCAAGUGGUAAAGGAAAUGUUAAACAUUUAUGAAUAAAAUGUUAUUUAAUCUAAUGAGUUAAA
Non-coding RNA from Callithrix jacchus (white-tufted-ear marmoset), 1024 nucleotides. The record is from RefSeq and is a predicted model, not a curated record. NCBI's taxonomy places the organism in Eukaryota, Metazoa, Chordata, Mammalia, Primates, Cebidae.